Molecule: ribosomal RNA, 763 nt
Filed under: uncultured Pseudomonas sp.
Lineage: Bacteria; Pseudomonadati; Pseudomonadota; Gammaproteobacteria; Pseudomonadales; Pseudomonadaceae
Description: partial 16S ribosomal RNA
Source: RNAcentral
CGGCUAGUUGACAUCGUUUACGGCGUGGACUACCAGGGUAUCUAAUCCUGUUUGCUCCCCACGCUUUCGCACCUCAGUGUCAGUAUCAGUCCAGGUGGUCGCCUUCGCCACUGGUGUUCCUUCCUAUAUCUACGCAUUUCACCGCUACACAGGAAAUUCCACCACCCUCUACCGUACUCUAGCUUGCCAGUUUUGGAUGCAGUUCCCAGGUUGAGCCCGGGGCUUUCACAUCCAACUUAACAAACCACCUACGCGCGCUUUACGCCCAGUAAUUCCGAUUAACGCUUGCACCCUCUGUAUUACCGCGGCUGCUGGCACAGAGUUAGCCGGUGCUUAUUCUGUCGGUAACGUCAAAACAAUCACGUAUUAGGUAACUGCCCUUCCUCCCAACUUAAAGUGCUCUACAAUCCGAAGACCUUCUUCACACACGCGGCAUGGCUGGAUCAGGCUUUCGCCCAUUGUCCAAUAUUCCCCACUGCUGCCUCCCGUAGGAGUCUGGACCGUGUCUCAGUUCCAGUGUGACUGAUCAUCCUCUCAGACCAGUUACGGAUCGUCGCCUUGGUGAGCCAUUACCUCACCAACUAGCUAAUCCGACCUAGGCUCAUCUGAUAGCGCAAGGCCCGAAGGUCCCCUGCUUUCUCCCGUAGGACGUAUGCGGUAUUAGCGUCCGUUUCCGAACGUUAUCCCCCACUACCAGGCAGAUUCCUAGGCAUUACUCACCCGUCCGCCGCUCUCAAGAGAAGCAAGCUUCUCUCUACCGCUC